RNAcentral lists this long non-coding RNA (4612 nucleotides) under Brassica napus (rape). RNAcentral's name for it is "long non-coding RNA (BNAP_LNC019945)". Lineage: Eukaryota; Viridiplantae; Streptophyta; Magnoliopsida; Brassicales; Brassicaceae. The record is from RNAcentral.
GGCCCUGUCCCUCUCUCUACCUCGUUCCUUCUCUCUAUCACUCUCUCCUACUUUACUUCUUCCCUCCCUCGAGUCUCCCACAAUUGGCAGACUGUUUGACUCCGUAUCGCUCUUCUUCACAUCUGUAGCCAUUUCAUGAGGUGUGUUAUUCUUUCCAUCCUUAGACUCGUUAUUAACAGAUCCUGAAGUACCCUUCGUAUCAACAGCACCGUCAACUGCCGGUGAAACAUCCUGUAACACAGUGGCAAAGUACAUCAAACCAAAAACUGAUAAAAGGUAAAGCGAAACGCACAAUAUCCAAAGCUAUUCUGUUUGCUCCUUCAAGAAAUGGACUCAACAUGAUAUGGAGAAUAAUCUUAAAGCUUUCGCACAAAUCACAAAAACUUAGAUAACGAGCUAUCAUCUAUCUCACCUUUGUAGCUGAUUGAGAUUGAGAAUUCGCGGAUCUACUGGAAAAGGUAAAAGGCUUCCCAUCCUUGCAAACUGAGAUAUACUGAGCCUUUGGGAGACUGUAUAGAUGAGCAAGAACUCUACACACUUCGUCAAUACCAGAUUUAUCUGCAUCAAAUGCUUUCCACCAGGGUGGAUUCUCUGGGAGAGGAACUUGAAACCUACGUGCAGCAGCAUACACGACCCCACAAGCCACAACCUCACUUCUGAACCUUACACAAAGGGUUGUACGCAGACUGCAUUUAUAGACAUUUAUCACACGGGAUCAAAUGAGAAAACAUCACAGAAGUAAUAAUCAGAUAUUAAGAAAACAACACUACUCAAAACAGAACAGUGCAUAUGUUAUUCCGAGCUUCAGCUCAAAGGCAACUCUAAAACCUAUUGACACAAUGAUGUACAGCUAACUCGAGUAAUCAAAUUUAAAAAUAUCCAAGUAAAAUUAGAGGUUACCUAUCAUUUGCCAAGUUCCAAGCCUCUUGCCUCAAUUCUGGAGGUGUUUCAAGUGUGGCAAGGUAGUUUGAGAUGAACUUGUGAGGAUGUUCAACAUGACAAACAAAACCCAUCUCUUUCAGUAUGUGUCUCUCAGUUCUGCUUAAUUCAACUUUCAACUCAGAAUACUUCUGCAGAAAAUCAACAAGUGGGAAAAGGAUGAGAUACGAAAAUGAUAUAAGAAAAAACACGACAUAUAAAAGAAAAGGCAGUGUCUCAAUUUAAUGCACGCACGACACAUAUAUACAUAAAAAGCAUUCAACAUGACAAAUAUGGAACCUGUCAUAUAAUGGUGCAGUGUGCAUACUAACCUUGGAAAACAAAUCAAGAUGAUCUAAUGGUAAGUUCUCCCUGCGGCACUCCAUCCUGUGGAAGACAAUGAUGACCUGCCUAGCUUUCUUAGGGUUUUCUUCCAACUUUGACGCAAGCCAGACACAGCUCGCAGCAACUAUCUGUAUAAGGUAAACACCAAAACCGUUAUGGUUACAGGCAGGAGGAGUCACAAAAAGUAAAGAAUCUUCACACUGAAACUAAAACCGCAGGUGUUUAUCAAGUUCAAAGGCCUCAAGAAACAGAGAUAAGUAAGUAGUACCUUAACAUCGAACUUGGCAAGAGACUUCUUGCAAUAGAAACGGUGGAAAAGAACCUGCCCAGUAGCCAUAACAGCCUGUGGUCUAAAGAUUCAACAAUAUAAGGGUUAAGGAAUAUCUAAAGUUGUAUGUAAUGUGACAUUUGAGCUAUCAGCAAAAACAUACGGAGACCAAGACGAAGAAAAGGAUACAGUCUGAGCAAGAUUCCAGCUUCUUGGAUGAGAUCACAUCCAUAGAUCCUAAGUGUCGUCUCGGUUGUUUCAUCGAUCCCAUCUUUCCUGGAAGGUGAGUUCUUUAUCUGCUCCUCCGGUAAGUAGAAAUUGUCGAUUGCCGUGUAAAUCAUCGAUUCUGUUACAACCCAUAGAAAGAGGAAAAAAAGACAAGUUAGCUUAGAUUCCGACACACCAUUGAUGUUAGCAGUGAAAAAGCACACAAGAAAAUAAAGAAGUGAUGUUAUCAUGAAUGUAGCAAAAUCGAGAAAGCGUCAAAGCUCCAACGCAAUCAAGAAUCUAGCUUCUUUCACUAAGUCUACUGAUAGCUUAAUUAAAACACGAAAAAGUAUGUACCCGGAAAGGUGAGAGAGACGGCGGCGAGGCGAUUUGAGGGACGACGGACGACGGACGAAGGGAUUCAAUCUGGGGAUCGAGGGAAGUUCUCAGAAAACAUUAAUGUAAAGGAAAUUAGAAAAAGAGCAAACAAAAGAAAUUGGGCCUACUAAUUUAACUAGGCCCUAAUUGGGCUUUAUCAACCAAAAUAAUGUGAUUUAUGAUUGGCCCAAUUAAAAAUGGCAGCGACAGGAUAAAGAAAUUCAGAACAAAACAAAGACUGUUUUAGCUUCCACUUCCAUGGUCGGUCUCGCGCACUGAGAGACGUGAAGCAAGAUACAACACUUGCAAUAAUCCAAAUCCUCCCCAUUUCUUCUGAACCAAAAACCCUAAAACCCACUUACCUUUCUUGUCUCGUCUUUCUCUCUGGAGAUGGCUUCUUCGAUAUCUCUAAGGCCGACGAGCCUUAUCCUCUCAUCAACUUUCUCUACAGGCAGAGUCCUCCACUUCCGCCGCUCCCCUUUCAGCCGCACACCGUCGUCUUCCUCUUGUCGCCAUCGGACUCUGGUUGCUCAAUUCGGAUUGGGACCAGGUUCGUUUCCCGACCCAGGCUUCUCACUCGAUUUGAUCAAGGACCAUGCUGAGAGUCUUCUCUACACCAUCGCUGAUGCCGCCGUUUCGUCCUCAGAAACGUUUGAAUCUGUUUCCGGCACUACCACAAAGCAGAACAGUGAUUGGUUCUCUGGUAUCGCCAAUUACAUGGAAACUAUUCUCAAGGUAAAGUUCUCUUUUUUUUUUUGUGAAUCUAUUAUGUUGCUUUAUAAUUGUACUUGGUUAUGAUUUGAAUUGUAGGUUUUGAAAGAUGGGUUAUCGACAGUAAACGUACCUUACUCUUAUGGUUUUGCUAUCAUUCUACUCACCGUGCUUGUUAAGGCUGCUACGUUCCCCUUGACGAAAAAGCAGGUCUUUUCACUUUGUUUCUAUUACUGGCUAAAUGCCAAGAUUCAAUUAUCUUACUUAAGUGGUGUGGUGGUUCGUUUCUGUACAGGUCGAAUCUGCUAUGGCUAUGAAGUCUUUGCAGCCUCAAAUUAAGGCCAUUCAGGAACGCUAUGCUGGUGAUCAGGUGAAACCAUUUCUUCCAUAAAGAAAAGCUUUUCCUGAUGCCCAUACUAAAUCCAUCAUUAGUUCAUGGAUUUUGAAGGAAAAAAAUGUAGGAACAAGCGUGUAGCUUUUGGUUUCAUCACUGUGGAGUGAUUCUUAUGAAUUUACCAAAGAUUAUAGCUUUAACUUUUAUGAAUGUAGCCCUCUUGUUAAAACAGAGAGCUUGUUUAUGUUUUGCAGGAGAGAAUUCAGCUUGAAACUGCCAGAUUGUAUAAACUCGCUGGAAUAAACCCCCUUGCAGGUAAAGUUGAUUGCUUCAGACUUUUCCAUUUGAGACAGUAGAAACAUAAUCUCUUUCUUAGCGUCUUCCAGCUUGUGGUUAGGCUAUAUCUUCAUUUUUUUUCUUUCUGUUAGGGUGCCUCCCCACACUAGCCACUACUCAAUAAUAUACAAUUUUUGAAUUAUAUACACUGGUUUAUAAUUUUUGUUGACAUAAAUCGACGUGCGUGAUGUUUUGUUGCAGGGCCACUUACCACCACCAUCAAUCAUCAUCAUUAUGGGAGUGAACAGACGGUCAUCGCACCGAAUGCAGACACCGUAACACAGAUACAUAAUGCAAAGUGAUUACUUAUGAAUCCGACUUCAACCAUCACCCUCCAAUCUAUUAUGUUACUAUUCUGUCUCUUUGAUUAUUUGUUGUUGUCGCUUACUAUUUUGGUCUUUCCAUCAUCAUUUGAUUCAGAUCUGUUUAGAUUCGAAUUGAUGAAUUUAGGUUCAGUAUGUGCGUCUGCAUUUGGUUGUGUUUAAACGUUAACUAGGCAUGUGGUACCUCACAUAAUGCUAAAUUGAGUACGCUCAAGAGUGACAUGGGUGUUUCACUGACACAAAUCAAGUACAUGACUCUCAUGUCUAAACAUCAAGCAGAACGUUUAAGGGCUUGUCCCAAAACGAUGAGAAAGAUUUGGUGACAAGAAGAUUUGACUUAAUGGUGCCUACUACGACGGUCUUUCGAUGAGUGCGACGAUUCGCGAUAGUCACGAUCGCGAGAAGAGUGAUGUCUUGAUCUAUCACCAUAAUCCUUCAGUCUAUCUCUUGACCGAUGAUGACUACGCUCUUUUAGUUUGUCUCUCUCCCUAUCACUCUCCUUGUCAGAAUCUCUGCCUCUGUCUCUGUGAGACCUACUACUGGCCCUGUCCCUCUCUCUACCUCGUUCCUUCUCUCUAUCACUCUCUCCUACUUUACUUCUUCCCUCCCUCGAGUCUCCCACAAUUGGCAGACUGUUUGACUCCGUAUCGCUCUUCUUCACAUCUGUAGCCAUUUCAUGAGGUGUGUUAUUCUUUCCAUCCUUAGACUCGUUAUUAACAGAUCCUGAAGUACCCUUCGUAUCAACAGCACCGUCAACUGCCGGUGAAACAUCCUGUAACACAGUGGCAAAGU